GGUUAAGCGACUAAGCGUACACGGUGGAUGCCCUGGCAGUCAGAGGCGAUGAAGGACGUGCUAAUCUGCGAUAAGCGUCGGUAAGGUGAUAUGAACCGUUAUAACCGGCGAUUUCCGAAUGGGGAAACCCAGUGUGUUUCGACACACUAUCAUUAACUGAAUCCAUAGGUUAAUGAGGCGAACCGGGGGAACUGAAACAUCUAAGUACCCCGAGGAAAAGAAAUCAACCGAGAUUCCCCCAGUAGCGGCGAGCGAACGGGGAGCAGCCCAGAGCCUGAAUCAGUGUGUGUGUUAGUGGAAGCGUCUGGAAAGGCGCGCGAUACAGGGUGACAGCCCCGUACACAAAAAUGCACAUAUUGUGAGC
This 364-nucleotide ribosomal RNA is filed under the name Escherichia coli. RNAcentral describes it as "partial 23S ribosomal RNA". It matches the Rfam family "Bacterial large subunit ribosomal RNA", at positions 1 to 401 of the family's 2925-position model. Lineage: Bacteria; Pseudomonadati; Pseudomonadota; Gammaproteobacteria; Enterobacterales; Enterobacteriaceae. The record is from RNAcentral.